CCUACGGGUGGCUGCAGUGGGGAAUAUUGGACAAUGGGGGGAACCCUGAUCCAGCCAUGCCGCGUGUGUGAAGAAGGCCCUCGGGUUGUAAAGCACUUUCAGUGAGGAAGAACGCCUGGUGGUUAAUACCCAUCAGGAAAGACAUCACUCACAGAAGAAGCACCGGCUAACUCCGUGCCAGCAGCCGCGGUAAUACGGAGGGUGCGAGCGUUAAUCGGAAUUACUGGGCGUAAAGCGCGCGUAGGUGGCUUGAUAAGCCGGUUGUGAAAGCCCCGGGCUCAACCUGGGAACGGCAUCCGGAACUGUCAAGCUAGAGUGCAGGAGAGGAAGGUAGAAUUCCCGGUGUAGCGGUGAAAUGCGUAGAGAUCGGGAGGAAUACCAGUGGAGAAGGCGGCCUUCUGGACUGACACUGACACUGAGGUGCGAAAGCGUGGGUAGCAAACAGGAUUAGAUACCCUUGUAGUC
Molecule: ribosomal RNA, 465 nt
Filed under: Vreelandella stevensii
Lineage: Bacteria; Pseudomonadati; Pseudomonadota; Gammaproteobacteria; Oceanospirillales; Halomonadaceae
Description: partial 16S ribosomal RNA
Rfam family: Bacterial small subunit ribosomal RNA
Source: RNAcentral